CAAAUUAUAGCUUAUUUUUAAAGCUUUUUAGUUACAUUAAUAGGAAAACAGUUUUGUUUAGUUUGA
RNAcentral lists this transfer RNA (66 nucleotides) under Nesophrosyne montium. Its description in RNAcentral is "tRNA-Val". The record is from RNAcentral. Lineage: Eukaryota; Metazoa; Arthropoda; Insecta; Hemiptera; Cicadellidae.